Molecule: ribosomal RNA, 1359 nt
Filed under: metagenome
Description: bacterial SSU rRNA
Rfam family: Bacterial small subunit ribosomal RNA
Source: RNAcentral
GUCGGAACGUACCGAGGAAUGGGGGAUAACGCAGCGAAAGUUGUGCUAAUACCGCAUACGCCCUGAGGGGGAAAGUGGGGGAUCGCAAGACCUCACGUUAUUCGAGCGGCCGACGUCUGAUUAGCUAGUUGGUGGGGUAAUGGCUCACCAAGGCGACGAUCAGUAGCGGGUCUGAGGGGAUGAUCCGCCACACUGGGACUGAGACACGGCCCAGACUCCUACGGGAGGCAGCAGUGGGGAAUUUUGGACAAUGGGGGCAACCCUGAUCCAGCCAUUCCGCGUGAGUGAAGAAGGCCUUCGGGUUGUAAAGCUCUUUCAGCAGGAACGAAACGGUAGGGGCUAAUACCCUCUGCUAAUGACGGUACCUGCAGAAGAAGCACCGGCUAACUACGUGCCAGCAGCCGCGGUAAUACGUAGGGUGCGAGCGUUAAUCGGAAUUACUGGGCGUAAAGCGUGCGCAGGUGGUUGUUAAGCAAGACGUGAAAUCCCCGGGCUUAACCUGGGAAUGGCGUUUUGAACUGGCAGUCUAGAGUGUGUCAGAGGGGGGUGGAAUUCCACGUGUAGCAGUGAAAUGCGUAGAGAUGUGGAGGAACACCAAUGGCGAAGGCAGCCCCCUGGGAUAACACUGACGCUCAUGUACGAAAGCGUGGGUAGCAAACAGGAUUAGAUACCCUGGUAGUCCACGCCCUAAACGAUGUCAACUGGUUGUUGGGGGAGUGAAAUCCCUUAGUAACGAAGCUAACGCGUGAAGUUGACCGCCUGGGGAGUACGGUCGCAAGAUUAAAACUCAAAGGAAUUGACGGGGACCCGCACAAGCGGUGGAUGAUGUGGAUUAAUUCGAUGCAACGCGAAAAACCUUACCUACCCUUGACAUGUCCAGAAUCCUGCAGAGAUGCGGGAGUGCCCGAAAGGGAAUUGGAACACAGGUGCUGCAUGGCUGUCGUCAGCUCGUGUCGUGAGAUGUUGGGUUAAGUCCCGCAACGAGCGCAACCCUUAUCAUUAGUUGCUACGCAAGGGCACUCUAAUGAGACUGCCGGUGACAAACCGGAGGAAGGUGGGGAUGACGUCAAGUCCUCAUGGCCCUUAUGGGUAGGGCUUCACACGUCAUACAAUGGUCGGUACAGAGGGUUGCCAAGCCGCGAGGUGGAGCCAAUCCCAGAAAGCCGAUCGUAGUCCGGAUUGUUCUCUGCAACUCGAGAGCAUGAAGUCGGAAUCGCUAGUAAUCGCGGAUCAGCAUGUCGCGGUGAAUACGUUCCCGGGUCUUGUACACACCGCCCGUCACACCAUGGGAGUGGAAUCUGCCAGAAGUAGGUAGCCUAACCGCAAGGAGGGCGCUUACCACGGUGGGUUUCAUGACUG